UGCGAGCGUGACGGCGCGAGCAGGUGCGAAAGCAGGUCAUAGUGAUCCGGUGGUUCUGAAUGGAAGGGCCAUCGCUCAACGGAUAAAAGGUACUCCGGGGAUAACAGGCUGAUACCGCCCAAGAGUUCAUAUCGACGGCGGUGUUUGGCACCUCGAUGUCGGCUCAUCACAUCCUGGGGCUGAAGUAGGUCCCAAGGGUAUGGCUGUUCGCCAUUUAAAGUGGUACGCGAGCUGGGUUUAGAACGUCGUGAGACAGUUCGGUCCCUAUCUGCCGUGGGCGCUGGAGAACUGAGGGGGGCUGCUCCUAGUACGAGAGGACCGGAGUGGACGCAUCACUGGUGUUCGGGUUGUCAUGCCAAUGGCACUGCCCGGUAGCUAAAUGCGGAAGAGAUAAGUGCUGAAAGCAUCUAAGCACGAAACUUGCCCCGAGAUGAGUUCUCCCUGACUCCUUGAGAGUCCUGAAGGAACGUUGAAGACGACGACGUUGAUAGGCCGGGUGUGUAAGCGCAGCGAUGCGUUGAGCUAACCGGUACUAAUGAACCGUGAGGCUUAACCUUACAACGCCGAAG
Molecule: ribosomal RNA, 569 nt
Filed under: Escherichia coli
Lineage: Bacteria; Pseudomonadati; Pseudomonadota; Gammaproteobacteria; Enterobacterales; Enterobacteriaceae
Description: partial 23S ribosomal RNA
Rfam family: Bacterial large subunit ribosomal RNA
Source: RNAcentral